RNAcentral lists this ribosomal RNA (670 nucleotides) under Bacteroidales bacterium. RNAcentral describes it as "partial 23S ribosomal RNA". It matches the Rfam family "Bacterial large subunit ribosomal RNA", at positions 1 to 678 of the family's 2925-position model. The record is from RNAcentral. Lineage: Bacteria; Pseudomonadati; Bacteroidota; Bacteroidia; Bacteroidales.
GAAAAGAGAAGCAAGGGCGAAUGGAGGAUGCCUUGGCUUCGGCAGGCGAUGAAGGACGCGGUAAGCUGCGAAAAUAGCCGGGGAUUGGCAAACACGAAUUGAUCCGGCCGUAUCCGAAUGGGGCAACCCACUGGAUUGAAGAUCCAGUACCAUCGACAGAUGGGGCGAACCCGGGGAACUGAAACAUCUUAGUACCCGGAGGAAAAGAAAGAAAUAGUCGAUUCCCCCAGUAGUGGCGAGCGAAGAGGGACGAGCCUAAACCGGAGUGUUUACGGACAUUCCGGGGUUGUAGGAUCACCGACAAAUAUUGAUAGCAGGAACCGGAAGCUGUUUGGAAAACGGCGGCGCAGAGGGUGAAACUCCCGUACGGGUAACGAGCUGUCGAUCACGGUGACACCUGAGUAGGGCGGGGCACGUGGAAUCCUGUCCGAAUCUGCGGGGACCAUCCCGCAAGGCUAAAGACUGCCGAAGACCGAUAGUGGACCAGUACCGUGAUGGAAAGGUGUGUAGCACCCCGAACAGGGGAGUGAAAGAGAACCUGAAACCGUUCGCCUACAAGCGGUGGGAGCUGCAGUUGUUGCAGUGACCGCGUGCCUUUUGCAUAAUGAGCCUACGAGUUGCUUCAAUGUUGCGAGGCUAAGUCGUUCAGCGACGGAGUCGAAGCGAGAGC